AGGGCGCAUGGUGAAUGCCUAGGCACUAGAAGCCGAUGAAGGACGUGACGAACCACGAAAGGCUUCGGGGAGCAGUAAGUAAGCAAUGAUCCGGAGAUAUCCGAAUGGGGGAACCCAAUACCGGGAGGUAUUAUCAAGAGCUGUUAAGGCUGUUGAAGGAAGACGCAGUGAACUGAAACAUCUAAGUAGCUGCAGGAAGAGAAAGAAAAAUCGAUUUCCCAAGUAGCGGCGAGCGAACAGGAAAGAGCCCAAACCAGCUGGCUUGCCAGUUGGGGUAGUAGGACUGCAGGAAAGCACUUGAAGCGAUAGCAGAAUUAUCUGGAAAGAUAAGCCAGAGAGGGUGAGAGCCCCGUAAGCGAAAUUGCAGAGAGACUUAGCAGGAUCCUGAGUAGGUCGGGACACGAGGAAUCCCGAUUGAAACCGCGAGGACCAUCUCGCAAGGCUAAAUACUAACUAGUGACCGAUAGUGAACCAGUACCGUGAGGGAAAGGUGAAAAGAACCCCGGAAGGGGAGUGAAAGAGAACCUGAAACCGUGUGCCUACAAGUAGUCAAAGCACAUUAAAGUGUAAUGGCGUGCCUUUUGUAGAAUGAACCGGCGAGUUACGUUAUGGUGCAAGGUUAAGUCAGAAAAGACGGAGCCGGAGCGAAAGCGAGUCUGAAGAGGGCGAGAGAGUAUCAUGACGUAGACCCGAAACCAAGUGACCUACCCAUGACCAGGUUGAAGGCGUGGUAAAACACGCUGGAGGACCGAACCCACGUGAGUUAAAAAUCGCGGGGAUGAGUUGUGGGUAGCGGUGAAAUUCCAAACGAACUUGGAGAUAGCUGGUUCUCUCCGAAAUAGCUUUAGGGCUAGCCUCGUGUGAAUGAUAAUGGAGGUAGAGCGCUGUUUGGACUAGGGGCCGUCAGGGGUUACUGAAUCCAGAUAAACUCCGAAUGCCAGAUAUCAAUGCACGGGAGUCAGACUGCGAGUGAUAAGAUCCGUAGUCGAAAGGGAAACAGCCCAGAUCACCAGUUAAGGUCCCCAAAUCUAUGCUAAGUGGAAAAGGAUGUGGAGUUGCGUAGACAACUAGGAUGUUGGCUUAGAAGCAGCCACCAUUUAAAGAGUGCGUAAUAGCUCACUAGUCGAGUGACGCUGCGCCGAAAAUGUACCGGGGCUAAGCAUAGUACCGAAACUGUGGAUGCAUAUCAAAGGAUAUGCGUGGUAGGAGAGCGUUCUAAGUGCGGAGAAGUUAGAUCGAGAGGACUAAUGGAGCGCUUAGAAGUGAGAAUGCCGGUAUGAGUAGCGAAAGAUAGGUGAGAAUCCUAUCCGCCGAAAGACUAAGGUUUCCUGGGGCAGGCUCGUCCGCCCAGGGUAAGUCGGGACCUAAGGUAAGGCCGAGAGGCGUAGCCGAUGGACAACAGGUAGAGAUUCCUGUACUGAAAUUGUUCGAUAUGAGCAAAGGAGGGACGCAGGAGGCUAAUGACGCAUGUUGCUGGAAAUACAUGUGCAAGCAGUAAGAAGAAAGAUGAGUCAAAUGCUUGUCUAAAGAAAUCAAGCUGUGAUGCGGAGCGAAAUUAAAGUAGCGAAGGUCAUGAUGUCACACUGCCAAGAAAAGCUUCUAGCCAGAGCAAUUUUACCCGUACCGCAAACCGACACAGGUAGUCGAGUGGAGAACACUCAGGUGAGCGAGAGAACUCUCGUUAAGGAACUCGGCAAAAUGACCCCGUAACUUCGGGAGAAGGGGUGCUGAUGGUAAAAGAUCAGCCGCAGUGAAUAGGCCCAAACAACUGUUUAUCAAAAACACAGGUAUCUGCAAAAUCGUAAGAUGACGUAUAGGUGCUGACACCUGCCCGGUGCUGGAAGGUUAAGAGGAGAGCUUAGCGCAAGCGAAGGUUUGAAUUGAAGCCCCAGUAAACGGCGGCCGUAACUAUAACGGUCCUAAGGUAGCGAAAUUCCUUGUCGGGUAAGUUCCGACCUGCACGAAAGGUGUAAUGAUUUGGGCACUGUCUCAACGAGAGACUCGGUGAAAUUAUAAUACCCGUGAAGAUGCGGGUUACCCGCGACAGGACGGAAAGACCCCAUGGAGCUUUACUGUAGCUUGAUAUUGAGUAUUUGUUAAACAUGUACAGGAUAGGUAGGAGCCAGAGAAAGUAGGACGCUAGUCUUACUGGAGGCAAUGUUGGGAUACUACCCUUGUUUGAUGGAUCCUCUAACUCGCAGAGCUGAGCGUUCUGGAGGACAGUGUCAGGUGGGCAGUUUGACUGGGGCGGUCGCCUCCUAAAAUGUAACGGAGGCGCCCAAAGGUUCCCUCAGAAUGGUUGGAAAUCAUUCGCAGAGUGUAAAGGUAUAAGGGAGCUUGACUGCGAGAGGUACACCUCGAGCAGGGACGAAAGUCGGGCUUAGUGAUCUGGUGGUACUGCAUGGAAAGGCCAUCACUCAACGGAUAAAAGCUACCCUGGGGAUAACAGGCUUAUCUCCCCCAAGAGUUCACAUCGACGGGGAGGUUU
Molecule: ribosomal RNA, 2488 nt
Filed under: Lactobacillus gasseri ATCC 33323 = JCM 1131
Lineage: Bacteria; Bacillati; Bacillota; Bacilli; Lactobacillales; Lactobacillaceae
Description: bacterial LSU rRNA
Rfam family: Bacterial large subunit ribosomal RNA
Source: RNAcentral